CCUACGGGCGGCAGCAGUGAGGAAUAUUGGUCAAUGGACGAGAGUCUGAACCAGCCAAGUAGCGUGAAGGAUGACUGCCCUAUGGGUUGUAACCUUCUUUUAUAAAGGAAUAAAACGAGGCACGUGUGCCUUUUUGCAUGUACUUUAUGAAUAAGGAUCGGCUAACUCCGUGCCAGCAGCUGCGGUAAUACGGAGGAUCAGAGCGUUAUCCGGAUUUGUUGGGUUUAACGGGAGCGUAGAUGGGUUGUUAAGUCAGUUGGGAAUGUUUGCGGAUCAACAGUAAAAUUGCAAUUGAAACUGGCAGUCAGUAGUACAGUUGAGGUAGGCGGACUUCGUGGUGUAGCGGUGAAAU
RNAcentral lists this ribosomal RNA (352 nucleotides) under uncultured bacterium. RNAcentral's name for it is "partial 16S ribosomal RNA". It matches the Rfam family "Bacterial small subunit ribosomal RNA", at positions 338 to 687 of the family's 1533-position model. The record is from RNAcentral.